RNAcentral lists this long non-coding RNA (567 nucleotides) under Olea europaea subsp. europaea. The record is from RNAcentral. Lineage: Eukaryota; Viridiplantae; Streptophyta; Magnoliopsida; Lamiales; Oleaceae.
UGUUAAAAAAAAUCCAUCAUCGCAGUGGAGGUCGAAGCUGAAAAAUGGUUGGAAAUCACCUUCACUCUUUGAGGACCAUCACCCAAGAAAAAUCUUCAGUUAGCCAAUUGGACGUUGUUGAUCAAUAGAUCUGUUGUGCAUGAGGUGGCCACGUACGUUAGCAAGGCGACGGAGAAGUUGCAGACCAAAAAGUUCUGUUCUUUGAGCAAAAAACGAAACUUCAAUCAAAAGUAGGAUAUUGGUUAGGGGAUUUGGGCCAAGUGUCAAAAACUAGCGGUGAUUGAAGAGAAUUUGAUUGAGGAGGUGCAUGUUAGCAAGACGGCGGAGGAAAAUAGUCUCGAAGAAAUAGAAGGAAAAAUUUGGUGACUUUUUUUUUAUUUUUUAUAUUUUUUAUGCUAAUGUGGGAUGAAUAAAUGAGAUGAGAAGUGGCAAAACAUUAUUAAGAAGGGCACCAUAGCAAGAUAGGGUGGUGGAGGAAGUUGGUGGUAAACCGGUGAUAUAAGCGGCGACAACGACUGUUUUGGAGUAUUGGUUGGUUAGGGGGAAGAAGAUGAAGAUGGGGGGUGG